This 62-nucleotide transfer RNA is filed under the name Sphingomonas sp. Leaf10. RNAcentral's name for it is "tRNA-Ser". It matches the Rfam family "tRNA", at positions 16 to 71 of the family's 71-position model. From Rfam's summary of the family: Transfer RNA (tRNA) molecules are approximately 80 nucleotides in length. Their secondary structure includes four short double-helical elements and three loops (D, anti-codon, and T loops). Lineage: Bacteria; Pseudomonadati; Pseudomonadota; Alphaproteobacteria; Sphingomonadales; Sphingomonadaceae. The record is from RNAcentral.
UUGGUUAGAGCGCCGGCCUGUCACGCCGGAGGUCGCGGGUUCGAGCCCCGUCACUCGCGCCA